CCGUGAUGUUAGCCAUGUUGUUCGCUUACCCUUUCUUAAAUAUCCAGGGAACACGGAUGUUAAUGUUAUAACUAGAAUGGUUAACGUUCUGGGUACUACAGGUAUUAAUACAGGCAUAUACAUGUCCAAAUGGGACUUUCUGUCUCCCUUCAGAUGGUAGGAAACAACCAAAAUGAAGACUCGCCGAGUUCUAGCUAGACACACGAAACCCCUAAACCCUAUAGAUGGAAAAGAGACUAACUUAGACUGCUCUUAUUUGGCCUUAUUGAAAUUUGAUUUUAUAGAAAAUUGGGUUCACAGCCUUACAUUGCUUCAACUGUAGCUCCAUUUUGAAAGUCGAAAGAGAUAAAUAUGAGAAAGAAUGAUACGAUUGCGUGAUGCUUUUUGAGUCCUUAGCCUUGCACUGUAUGCUAGAUGCUUGUGCCGACAAUUAUCAUAUUCUUGGCCAUGAGUUAUUGAGUUGUACACUCAAAUUUGUUGAACUAACGUUAGAUCAGCUGUUUUCUUGACACUAAGAAGCCCUCCAUCCUCCCAUUGAUUGUAAGAUGAAGGGCCUUUGAGGAUGACAAACUGUUGCCUCAUCUGACGCUUGCGUCGUUUCUAAUUUUGAUCGUCAGUGGAUAAUCAAUCCACUGACAGCCAUGGGCCUAUUUAAUCAGGUUUAUACCGGUCAUGUCUUCGGGAGUUUAGAUUCAUUUGUCAUGGUCGGACGGUUUGAUCACGUGUGUCUUACGCGUUUACUUGGAUCACGUGUGACUCAAUUGUGGCGAAUGCGACGUGCUGCUUGAGUAUCCAUCAAUGUUGCGCCAUGGAUAGCUGAGUGGUGUCACUCAAUCAUCAGCCUGAUGCAAUGCAGGACAUGGAGUUGGAGAUGGGUAUUAUGCCGUUGAGAUGGCGUCAUGUUUUGCAUUGCUAAAAACAAAGGAAGUACCUGAAAACAUGCUCCUAUUAGAGGUGGCCCCAAGCGUUCUGAGUUAUUGUUAUUGACAUUUGGUAAACUAUUUGACAUGUAAAAGUUUUGUUUCAAAUGUAUACCCUAGGUUCAAAACGACGGUUGUAAUACAUGUUCGAUGAACACAAGCCAGGACAGUGACAUCCCCUCAAGUACUGAGCACUCAGAGAGUGGACCAGGACUAAAAUCAUUUAUAAUCAGUCUUUAGAUGAUAAGCUGGUUCAGGUUGUAGUAAUAAAGCGUUGGCACAAGCAUCGAAUGCAGUCAUGGGAAUUUGAUUUUGUGAAUUGUGUUUCAGAAUGGCAAGACUUGAAGCAAUAAUUAUUUAAAUAUUGGUGAUAACAUAACCUUAGUUUCAGUCAGGAACUAUUUCGGUCCCAGUGUUGCUGCCCAUGAAGGAACAUUUAGCUUUCUUCGCUUCGGCCCCGUCCACACGAAGUCUCCGUUUUCGGAGUAUCUCCGUAAAGACGGAUGCCACCGAAACCGGGUAGAUCUGUAGAAACGCUGUAGUACACAUUCCAGGCCCAUAAGGGGCGCUGCUUCUGCUACAGAAAUCCAGAAGAAAAAUAAAUAAGGAGAGGCGAGCAUGCGCAUAAAGGGUGAGACUCCGCGGGCUUAACAGUCAUUAGGCUAGAUGGUCGAGGGGUGGGGCGAUAACGUCAUGGUUAUUCGCCGGCUUUGUGUGGAGGGAAGGACGAACCGUAUAAGACCUUUGCGGUUUCGCCAUGAAAUCGGCUUUGUGUGGACGGGGCCACACGAAGCCGAUUUCAACGUUUUUCAAUGUUUAAUCAUCAGCAGAAGGAAUAUGAAGCCAUAGUACAUUUGCACAACACAUUUAUGUCAAUCAAUCACCCGGCAUUUUGCAAAGUUGUGGUUGAAAAGCUUCCCUCAUUGCACUCAUGAAUCUUUCAUGGAAUUUAUAUACAUAGCUUCUGCCAUUUUCAAAUCUCAUUUCAAGCUCACCCACUCUGCCUUUUCAUAUUUGAAUUUCUGCAUUGUGCAUUUAUGUCAGUUUGGUGCCAAUUCUUUUUUUUUUCGGGAUUUUAUGAAUGUGGAUCAUAAAAUGUUUAGGGUCUAGGUGCUUGUACUGUUUUACAGUUGAGAUAACUGUAGGUGAGAUCUUGCUGGGAACCUUUAAAAAAUAUAUAAAA
This is a long non-coding RNA of Gadus macrocephalus (Pacific cod), 2103 nucleotides long. RefSeq lists it as uncharacterized. The transcript has 2 exons. The record is from RefSeq and is a predicted model, not a curated record. Lineage: Eukaryota; Metazoa; Chordata; Actinopteri; Gadiformes; Gadidae.